GCGGCCUAUCAGCUUGUUGGUGAGGUAAUGGCUCACCAAGGCGACGACGGGUAGCCGGCCUGAGAGGGCGACCGGCCACACUGGGACUGAGACACGGCCCAGACUCCUACGGGAGGCAGCAGUGAGGAAUAUUGGGCAAUGGAGGGAACUCUGACCCAGCGACGCCGCGUGCGGGAUGAAGGCCUUCGGGUUGUAAACCGCUUUCAGCAAGGAAGAAGCGAAAGUGACGGUACUUGCAGAAGAAGCACCGGCUAACUAUGUGCCAGCAGCCGCGGUAAUACAUAGGGUGCAAGCGUUGUCCGGAAUUAUUGGGCGUAAAGAGCUCGUAGGUGGUUCGUCACGUCGGAUGUGAAAAUCUGGGGCUUAACCCCAGACCUGCAUUCGAUACGGGCGAGCUAGAGUGUGGUAGGGGAGACUGGAAUUCCU
Molecule: ribosomal RNA, 426 nt
Filed under: uncultured Actinomycetes bacterium
Lineage: Bacteria; Bacillati; Actinomycetota; Actinomycetes
Description: bacterial SSU rRNA
Rfam family: Bacterial small subunit ribosomal RNA
Source: RNAcentral